Molecule: ribosomal RNA, 437 nt
Filed under: Vibrio sp. Dahv3
Lineage: Bacteria; Pseudomonadati; Pseudomonadota; Gammaproteobacteria; Vibrionales; Vibrionaceae
Description: bacterial SSU rRNA
Rfam family: Bacterial small subunit ribosomal RNA
Source: RNAcentral
GGGUGAGUAAUGCCUAGGAAAUUGCCCUGAUGUGGGGGAUAACCAUUGGAAACGAUGGCUAAUACCGCAUGAUGCCUACGGGCCAAAGAGGGGGACCUUCGGGCCUCUCGCGUCAGGAUAUGCCUAGGUGGGAUUAGCUAGUUGGUGAGGUAAGGGCUCACCAAGGCGACGAUCCCUAGCUGGUCUGAGAGGAUGAUCAGCCACACUGGAACUGAGACACGGUCCAGACUCCUACGGGAGGCAGCAGUGGGGAAUAUUGCACAAUGGGCGCAAGCCUGAUGCAGCCAUGCCGCGUGUGUGAAGAAGGCCUUCGGGUUGUAAAGCACUUUCAGUCGUGAGGAAGGUGGUGUAGUUAAUAGCUGCAUUAUUUGACGUUAGCGACAGAAGAAGCACCGGCUAACUCCGUGCCAGCAGCCGCGGUAAUACGGAGGGUGCGA